Long non-coding RNA from Esox lucius (northern pike), 2693 nucleotides. The record is from Ensembl. Lineage: Eukaryota; Metazoa; Chordata; Actinopteri; Esociformes; Esocidae.
GCUGCUUGAAAAUGUGUUUUCUACUUUGUUUCAGCAGUUCAGUGUGGUUGGUUUAUCUUUGUAACCGUCGUAAUGUAGAACCAGUGCAUGUUGGGAAACAGGAAGUAAAAUCACCAUGCGGUAGUUAGCUACAGGAAUGUGUGAGCUCUACCCGUCGUCAGUUUCUGAGUCGAUCGCUUUUCCUUCUCCCUUUUUGCUAAGGCAACGUCUCUGGAGCCGGAGAGAGAUUGGAGAUCACCAGGCGGUUGGAGGCGCAGAGAUUUCUGUGGCAGCUUGGUUAGAGGUGGCGAGAGAGGCAACAGAAAAAAGAAAACGACAUCAACUGAAACACGUAGACCCAGGCAUGCGUCCCCGCUCCAGACCUCAGGCUAAAAGGGGCCUGCCCACCAUCAGGGAGGGCUACGAAGAACUUGUCCAGGACAUGAACCAGGCCAACAGCCGCCACCUCCCACACCACGGCCAGGCCCAAUCGUUGUCUACCCACGACUACGUCCUGUCAAUAUGCCAGCUCGCCCGCCCGACCUUCCCCCAGUCCGAGCCCGACUGUGACAUCCUCGCCAUGGGUUCCCUGGCAUCUCUGAGGCCUUGUCUGAGGCUCCACAGACUGAGGAACCCUGCACCGCCCCAUCAGCCAUUGAAUUCCCAGGUUGGCCACCGCCCACAGCUGAAGCAGGAGAAUAGCCGCGGUGAGUGCAGUGGCCUGGAGAGAGAGGUGUGUGUCGGUUCAGGUCGGUCCUCCCCCAGAGGGGUGCCCAGUGUCUCUGAUCCCCUGGAGUACCUUUACGGUCACGGGGAGGCACUCUUCUCGACCACCCUUCACUCCCACAGCUCACAGGGCUGGAGAAAUGAGGGGAGAGGAAGCAACCGGCAUCGGCAACAACCCCAGAUACACACCGACAGCUUCCCAGGCAUGUGUUCCUUACCCCCGACCCAACGGAAAAUCAGUUGCCCUGAGCUCAGCCUCGUGGACCCCGCUGACCUAGAGAAGCCCACCUCUGACCCCGCUCAGCCGCAGACAGUCUCCUCAGAGCAGCAGAAACCUGACGCCUCCAGCUCACUCUCCUGGAGAUUCCAGAACAACUUGUACAGGGUUUCGGCAGGUGAAAGGGGGAAGUGCCCUUGCUACUUAGACAAACACACAGUGGUAUCAAGCUGGAUCGCCGAAUGUCGCACAGCCUGGAGAGAAGCCAGAAUCAGGGCCUGCAUGCUUCCUGCCAUUGCAGAGAUGUAAACACAUAGAUCUUCUGUAACAUUUCCAUGCCCCACUCGGAAUCAUUGUGCAUUGUGGAUCCUUGAUGUACGUACUACAUACUGUUUAAUUAACUGGCACAUUUGGCCAAUUGCAGGCCCAUAUGGUAACAUGUACAACUCCAGUUUUCAUUUGUGAACUUUUUGAAGAGUAUAUAGAUUAAGACCAUAGAGAUGAUCAGAGGACUUAGAGGAGCGACAGGUGGCCUAGACUUUAAAGUAUCUUACCAGUAACCAAAUUGUUGCUAGAUCCCUGAGCCUGAAAAAUGAAAUAUUGUAAUUCUGUCCCUGACAGAAGACAAGACAAUUGACACUAAUUGCUUCCUGAUUUUUUUUGCACUAAUUUUCAUUGAAGACAUCCACAAAUUUCAACUUUAUUGGCUGAUUCAUCCCGAUGACCCGAUUGGUCAUUGGCUGAUCCUUCCUAAUGACUAUAUUAACAUGACGAUGGCCUCAAUGGCUCUGCCCAUGCUGGAACAGAUGCUUUGGUGACACACAUGGGUCCUCUGUUUAUCUCGACCCUUAAGACAUAUUGUAGACUAGCGUAUGCUUCAUUCAUAUCACAGUAGGUGGAAUAUUGACAGUGCCUAUGAAAGAUAGUAUUUAGGUAGCCUCCGUGUCAUUAAACAUACGGUCAUUAGGCAAGACUGUUUUGUGAGAAUGGUCACAUAUGACCAGUAUUAAUAUAAAGUUUACAGGAAGAGGAAAGACUAAGAAAAAUAUCAGAUUAUAUUUCCUAGGGAAUUAGCGAUUACUUAAAUCUUUCUAUUUCACUCCAUUAUUGACUAAUAAUAAUUAUUAAAUACUUUUUUUGUGACAUAUGGGCAGCUAAAACAACAAAUAAAAUUCUACAGAGUUGAGAAAAAUGUGUCCUAUUGUUAGCUAGUUAGGGCUCAGCCCUCCAACUCAGAUUACUCUCAGUGGUUUUGAAAAUCUAUUUUGUGAUUUCCUCUCUUGUGUAUAAACUUGAUUAUGCAAUGAAAAUAUCUAUUUUAAUCUUCUUCACUUAUUAAAGCCAUGAUAAAAUAGAUACAGGUAAUGUAUAUUAAAUCAUGUCAAUGAAUUCCCACUGAGUGAGAUGUUAUGUAAAAAUGUUGUAUGUGACAUUUCAAUUGCAAGAUCAGAUGGUCCUCCAUGACAGUACAAUGAAGUAUGUGUCAAAAUAUAUCAACAUUGAGACAAUUGUAUCAUUGACUUGUAAAUGUUUGAGAACACAUUAAUUUGUAUAGCUUUUGUACCUCUGUCCAUUGCUUGCUCGUAACUGAAUAAAGUUUGUGUUUGACCCAUCCCACAAUUAUCAUUCAAUAUCCUCAAAGAUAAGCAACAUAAACCAGUUAUCCUACAACAUUCUCUGAUGGAGAGAUGAAACUGAAGACAUUUCUCCAGAAAAAAUAAGGCUGGCAAACCCCAGCAUCUUCAGGGAGAUUUGAAACACUAUAAAUUAG